UGGGGAAUUGUUCGCAAUGGGCGCAAGCCUGACGACGCAACGCCGCGUGGAGGAUGAAGGUCUUCGGAUUGUAAACUCCUGUUGCCCGGGACGAAUGGCUCCAACCUAAUACGUUGGAGUGUGACGGUACCGGGUGAGGAAGCCCCGGCUAACUCUGUGCCAGCAGCCGCGGUAAUACAGAGGGGGCAAGCGUUGUUCGGAAUUACUGGGCGUAAAGGGCGCGUAGGCGGCCUUCUAAGUCAGACGUGAAAUCCCCGGGCUCAACCCGGGAACUGCGUCUGAUACUGGAAGGCUUGAAUCCGGGGGGGGGAUGUGGAAUUCCAGGUGGAGCGGUGAAAUGCGUAGAUAUCUGGAGGAACACCGGUGGCGAAGGCGGCAUCCUGGACCGGUAUUGACGCUGAGGCGCGAAAGCCAGGGGAGCAAACGGG
Molecule: ribosomal RNA, 428 nt
Filed under: Bacillota bacterium
Lineage: Bacteria; Bacillati; Bacillota
Description: Firmicutes bacterium partial 16S ribosomal RNA
Rfam family: Bacterial small subunit ribosomal RNA
Source: RNAcentral